Molecule: long non-coding RNA, 3439 nt
Organism: Mirounga angustirostris (Northern elephant seal)
Lineage: Eukaryota; Metazoa; Chordata; Mammalia; Carnivora; Phocidae
Exons: 7
Source: RefSeq, a predicted model, not a curated record
CUCUACUUCGCGUGGCCCCUGGCUGCUAGGGUUCGGGGGAACCUAUCUGUAGCCCCGUGCGACCUGUGCGGUGACUCCCCGGUUGCGCCUCCAGGGGACCGGCUGGGUUUGGAGGCAUUGGCUGCCGUGAUGCAGGAAGGUCCAGCACUCACUAGCUGAAGGGGGAAGGAAUUCACCCGGUAAGUGCCAUUCUCCGGAGCUGCACAUUCGUGAACCCGAGAAACUUGCUAUGACCAGGUGCUAAAUCCUGAAGAAUAUGUUCCUGGGCUGCUUCCUCACUGGACUUGUGCUGAGGUACCUGAUGAUCUACUGAGGUGGCAGAACUAAGGUGGAAAUGACCCAGUGAGGAAGGAAAAUGAGCAAGGCCUGCCCUGGUCACAUAAUUAAAACAUAUAUGCUGGCCAAAGGUCAUUUUCCUAGUUGGGUGAGGACACGCUUCAGACGUGAGAUGAACUACAGCUGGUAGCUGGUUCUCUCCUGGGAUGUGCAUUUAGAUCCCCAUCUAGUUGAUCCGAAAGACUCUACCUGCACCCAAGAUCCGAAAGUUUUAAUGUAGGUCAUUCAACCAAGUGGAAAGAACCACAGCAUCCCUUUGUAAUGAUGCUGGAGUUACAACCAGUGAAUAAGGAGUCUCUGCUCUCACAGAGCUCAGUCUAAAGAGGAACACUGACCACAAAGUGUGAUAGGCAUCAUGUGAAGGGAAGCCCACUUCAAGCAUUUAGCAGUGAUUGAAUCAGGAUGCAGCUAAGACUCAAAGAGAUGGUUCUCACGGAUGGCUGAUGACAGGAUUGGAGCUAGAGAGACCAUUCAGGAAUCGAAGCCUGGCCUCCUGCCACCACUUCCUUCCUAAGGCUAUCUGGAGUGCCACAGUCGGUCUUUUUUGGUCUUUUCAUCCAGUUACACAGAGUUCACACUUAGCCUUCUCCCAAGACUAUGCUAUUCCCACCUCAGUAAAACGCUCAUUUGUCACUAAAGCCAGAUAUGUGCCCUACCUCCGAGAACUGAUGUGCUGAUAAACUGAGCUGAUAGAUAUAAAAGUGCUUUGAGAACUGCACUGCAAUACAAUUCUAAGUACUAAAGCUACUAUCAAAGUAACAUUUAGUUCCAUCGACAAAUCAGCCAAGGGAUUAACCACUAGUUAAUACCAGGUUCUGUGGGAGUGAAGCUAUCGAAGCUAUCUUCAUGGAUAUAGUAUGGCUCCAUCCCUAAAGGAAUUUAUGACAAGCUGAUGGUACAAAGGAAAACCAAGACUAUCACUUUAGUUCUGUACCUGAUCAUGUCCACUUGACCUUGGCCACUAGGAAACUCAGAACCAAAUUAAGUAAAACUUAAGAGUUAUUAAAAGAAAGGAGGGAGUAAAGAAGAAAUGGAAAAACGGUAAUACCUCAGGAAGGGCUAUGUGAUCCUAAGAGAAGGAAAUGAGAGGAAGAUUAAGUGACGAAAUGUGCAACCUCUCCUCGGGGAGGAAGAACUCUGAAUGUGACCUUGUGCAAAUGGAAAAGAAACACAACAACCAAUGUGGCAAAGGGCAAAAUGCGCCCCUGUGCGCCCACGCACACGUGCACACACUCACACCCCCUGGCUUUGAAUAUCUAGAAGAUAAAUGACUAAAUGCUGUAAGACUCCAAGAGUCUGUCAGUACUCCUGUCUCAAGAAGGCAGCACUGAAUGCUAAAGGAAUGGCAGCGAGUGGGGGAGUUGGUGUAAAUCAUGGGGUCACCAGAAGGUAUAAAUCUGGGAACCUCUGCAAGUCUUAACAGUGGGGCCAGUAGAGGGAUAGCUAGGCACUGACUGCUCUUUUGUUGAAGAAAAAAACAAAAAAAAACCAAAAAAACCCCCACUACAUAUAAAAACUCUUAAAAAAACCCCCCAAAAACUAAGGAAGCCAACUGAAGCCAUCUAUUUCACAGGGUAGGAAGCCAGGUGUUUUCCUGCGUGUUAAAAAACCAGGAUUUAAAAUUUUAAAACCCUCCUGCCUGACAAUAAUCCUCAGAUCAGAUGAGGCUACCCUCGCCCAACUCUGGUAAGCCCUGCCAGUGUUUGAAAGCACAAUCCUUAGAAGCCUGUGCCUGUCCAGACACAUGCAUCCAGUAAGUUCUUAGAUUCAAAACUGCGUUCAGGUAGAAUGGCAAAUCCCAGGUUGAAAAAAAAAAACUGGGAGAGAAACAACCCAUCUAUUGCUUCUUUUCUGUCUCUGCACUCCUAAGUCCUUUAGUCCCUCAAAGUCACUUAGGAUGGCAGUCUAGAAGGACUUUGAUGCCUCUAGAGGUGGCCCUCAGGGUGGGGGGCCUCCUCAUGCAGGAGAUACCCCUGGGCCUUCCAGAUCGCACUGUGUUUAGCCCACUGGUGAAGGAAACACCUCUAGCUGGUUUCUGCUGGCUCCUUCAUCAAAGCUGCUCCUUGAACCUCUCAAAGCUCCACUCCUUCCAACAUGGAAGCCCAAAGAGGGUUAGGAAUUUUCUUCACCAAAUUAACAGAGUAUCCUGAUUGAUGUACUUUAGGACAGAAACUAACCAAAGCAAAGUAUACAAGGUCAUGAUGGACAGCUCCAUUCUUCAUGGGCUAAUUUUUAUUUUCAAUUUUUCUUACUAUUUUGUGUAUCAACAGAUUUAGAAACAAUCAUAGCCAUGGUAUACUGAAUGCUUUAUCAUGUGCCAGAUGCUACGUAUAUAUCUUGUAUAAUUCUUAUAAGCCUGAAAUGGGUACUAUAUUGUUUCCUUGGUUAACUGAGGCUCAAAGAGGCUGUAUAGCUUGUGAGAGGCUAUACAACUAGUAAAUCAUAGAGUCAUAGUUUGAACUCAGUUCUAUUUAACACCCAAACCAGUUCCUUUAAUCAGUAUACUAGAUUGGCUCCAGGGGCAAAGAUAGUUUUAUUUCUGUAGCAGGGAGAAACUAGUAAGAAAUUCCAUGGUGAGACCUUUGACUAGUAUAACCCAAUGUUCUGCCUCCGAUAUUGAACAGCAAGGACAUUAGGUAGGCAAGGCUAGGACACUGUAUUAAAAAAGUUGAAUAAUCUAAAUACCUUUUUAUUGCUCAUUAAUCUAUGUUAAACCCAUUAAUGUUUUCAGUCUACAGAAAUCUCUUGGAUACUAGGUUCUAUAACUUUAUCAUUUUAUUCAUUCACUAUAUUUUUAUGUCUCCUGAAACUACUUUUGUUAAGUUUCAAGGGAAGCCCUCAUGCUCUAGUAUUCCCAGAUUUAUUUAAAAUAUUUUAUUUAUUUGAGAGUGAGCGAGAGAGAGAGAGAGGUAGUGAGAGUGAGAAAGAGCAUGAGCAAGGGUGAGGGGCAGAGAGAGAGGAAGAAGCAGACUCCCCCUUGGGUGCCUGGGUGGCUCAGUUGGUUAAGCAACUGCCUUCGGCUCAGGUCAUGAUCCUGGAGUCCCGGGAUCGAGUCCCGCAUUGGGCUCCCUGCUCGGCAGGGAGUCUGCUUCUCCCUCUGACC